RNAcentral lists this ribosomal RNA (725 nucleotides) under uncultured Bacilli bacterium. RNAcentral's name for it is "bacterial SSU rRNA". It matches the Rfam family "Bacterial small subunit ribosomal RNA", at positions 66 to 776 of the family's 1533-position model. Lineage: Bacteria; Bacillati; Bacillota; Bacilli. The record is from RNAcentral.
GCUGAAGAGAGGAGCUUGCUCUUCUUGGAUGAGUUGCGAACGGGUGAGUAACGCGUAGGUAACCUGCCUUGUAGCGGGGGAUAACUAUUGGAAACGAUAGCUAAUACCGCAUAACAAUGGAUGACACAUGUCAUUUAUUUGAAAGGGGCAAUUGCUCCACUACAAGAUGGACCUGCGUUGUAUUAGCUAGUAGGUGAGGUAACGGCUCACCUAGGCGACGAUACAUAGCCGACCUGAGAGGGUGAUCGGCCACACUGGGACUGAGACACGGCCCAGACUCCUACGGGAGGCAGCAGUAGGGAAUCCUCGGCAAUGGGGGCAACCCUGACCGAGCAACGCCGCGUGAGUGAAGAAGGUUUUCGGAUCGUAAAGCUCUGUUGUAAGUCAAGAACGAGUGUGAGAGUGGAAAGUUCACACUGUGACGGUAGCUUACCAGAAAGGGACGGCUAACUACGUGCCAGCAGCCGCGGUAAUACGUAGGUCCCGAGCGUUGUCCGGAUUUAUUGGGCGUAAAGCGAGCGCAGGCGGUUUGAUAAGUCUGAAGUUAAAGGCUGUGGCUCAACCAUAGUUCGCUUUGGAAACUGUCAAACUUGAGUGCAGAAGGGGAGAGUGGAAUUCCAUGUGUAGCGGUGAAAUGCGUAGAUAUAUGGAGGAACACCGGUGGCGAAAGCGGCUCUCUGGUCUGUAACUGACGCUGAGGCUCGAAAGCGUGGGGAGCGAACAGG